CCCGCUGAACUUAAGCAUAUCAAUAAGCGGAGGAAAAGAAACUAACAAGGAUUCCCCUAGUAACGGCGAGUGAAGCGGGAAGAGCUCAAAUUUAAAAUCUGGUUUGCUUUGCAAAUCCGAGUUGUAGUCUGAAGAAACGUUUUCCAUGAAAGCUGAGGCACAAGUCCUUUGGAACAGGGCAUCAUAGAGGGUGAGAAUCCCGUCUUUGACACGGACUACCAGGGCUUAUGUGAUGUGCUCUCAAAGAGUCGAGUUGUUUGGGAAUGCAGCUCUAAAUGGGUGGUAAAUUCCAUCUAAAGCUAAAUAUUGGCGAGAGACCGAUAGCGAACAAGUACCGUGAGGGAAAGAUGAAAAGAACUUUGGAAAGAGAGUUAAACAGUACGUGAAAUUGUUGAAAGGGAAACGCUUGAAGUCAGUCGCGUUGCCCAGAAAUCAACCUUGCUUUUGCUUGGUGUACUUUCUGGUUAACGGGUCAGCAUCAAUUUUGACCGGUGGAUAAAGGUCAGGGGAAUGUGGCAUCUUCGGAUGUGUUAUAGCCCUUGGUUGCAUACAUCGAUUGGGAUUGAGGAACUCAGCAUGCCGCAAGGCCGGGUUUUUAACCACGUACAUGCUUAGGAUGCUGGCAUAAUGGCUUUAAUCGACCCGUCUUGAAACACGG
RNAcentral lists this ribosomal RNA (658 nucleotides) under uncultured fungus. RNAcentral describes it as "eukaryotic LSU rRNA". It matches the Rfam family "Eukaryotic large subunit ribosomal RNA", at positions 24 to 664 of the family's 3401-position model. Lineage: Eukaryota; Fungi. The record is from RNAcentral.